Molecule: long non-coding RNA, 534 nt
Filed under: Gossypium barbadense (sea-island cotton)
Lineage: Eukaryota; Viridiplantae; Streptophyta; Magnoliopsida; Malvales; Malvaceae
Description: long non-coding RNA (GBAR_LNC000006)
Source: RNAcentral
ACAUUUCGACGGUGGUCUUGGCGAUGGUGAUGGUGUUGGUUUUGGUUUUGGCGUCGGUGGUGGUUUUGGCGUCGGUUGUGGUUUUGGCGUCGGUGGUGGUGGAGGUGGAGGUAGAGGUGGAGAUGGUGGUGGUGGACAUUCAGGUUCAGGUGGCGGAGGAGGAGGACAAUCUUCAGGCGACGGAGCAGGAGCUUCACCGCCGCCGCCGCCGAUAAUGAUCUCUAACGUUUCCCUGUUAGUCCCAAUGAACGGAUACAGACCACCAUCAUCACCAUAAUCAUUGUCACUGACCACCUCGUGAGACCAACAAGAACCAAAAAUGGCGAUCAAAACUAAAAACGAAAGAGAAAGAUUACCCAUUGUUUUUCUUUGAGAAAUUGAGUGAAAGGCUAUGGUGGAUUAUAUAAGAUAAAAAAAAAAAUGGGGGCAAUAGGGGUGACCAUAAUUGAAGGAAAAGUCAAGGUUCACGACAUGGUACAAAGUUGGAUCGUACUGUUUUUGUCUUGGAAAAUGAAAGUUUUGUUAACAGCUGCU